Molecule: long non-coding RNA, 427 nt
Organism: Gymnogyps californianus (California condor)
Lineage: Eukaryota; Metazoa; Chordata; Aves; Accipitriformes; Cathartidae
Exons: 6
Source: RefSeq, a predicted model, not a curated record
UUAAUGGCAAGCUGUAGCUGGACUCUAGAUGGUAUUCCUAAAUAGAAACAAGACCUCUGGAAUGGUUAAGCUACUGAUCGGCAUCUGGGUGACUUGUUUAAUAAUUUUUUUUUUUUUUCAGAUGCAGAGGGACAAGAGACGCACCAAAGAGCAACGGAGGAGAGUUGAGCGCCGUGAGAAGGUGCGAAGCGAUGAACAAAGCAGGAUAUCGGCACCGGAGCUGACUCGGGCAAGGUGGUACCUGAGCGUCAACGUGCCAGCCCAAAGCGACGGAGGCCAGGCGGGCGAGCGGCCCAGGUGCCGUACGCAGCCUCAGAGGGGCGAAGCCGUGUGCCGGUGACCGGUCUGAGAAGGCACCGUGCGGGCUGCCUUUGGAAUUGGACGUGCAGUUGAGGUGCCACAAGCGAUGAUGGCUGCAGCGUACGAC